GUGCCAGCAGCCGCGGUAAUACGUAGGUGGCAAGCGUUGUCCGGAUUUAUUGGGCGUAAAGCGAGUGCAGGCGGCUCGAUAAGUCUGAUGUGAAAGCCUUCGGCUCAACCGGAGAAUUGCAUCAGAAACUGUCGAGCUUGAGUACAGAAGAGGAGAGUGGAACUCCAUGUGUAGCGGUGAAAUGCGUAGAUAUAUGGAAGAACACCGGUGGCGAAGGCGGCUCUCUGGUCUGUUACUGACGCUGAGGCUCGAAAGCAUGGGUAGCGAACAGGAUUAGAUACCCUGGUAGUCC
RNAcentral lists this ribosomal RNA (292 nucleotides) under uncultured microorganism. RNAcentral describes it as "partial 16S ribosomal RNA". It matches the Rfam family "Bacterial small subunit ribosomal RNA", at positions 505 to 796 of the family's 1533-position model. The record is from RNAcentral.